RNAcentral lists this ribosomal RNA (490 nucleotides) under uncultured bacterium. RNAcentral describes it as "partial 16S ribosomal RNA". It matches the Rfam family "Bacterial small subunit ribosomal RNA", at positions 30 to 507 of the family's 1533-position model. The record is from RNAcentral.
AUUGAACGCUGGCGGCAGGCCUAACACAUGCAAGUCGAACGGUAACAGGGAUCAGCUUGCUGAUUCGCUGACGAGUGGCGGACGGGUGAGCAAUGUCUGGGAAACUGCCUGAUGGAGGGGGAUAACUACUGGAAACGGUAGCUAAUACCGCAUAACGUCGCAAGACCAAAGAGGGGGCCCUUCGGGCCUCUUGCCAUCGGAUGUGCCCAGAUGGGAUUAGCUAGUAGGUGGGGUAACGGCUCACCUAGGCGACGAUCCCUAGCUGGUCUGAGAGGAUGACCAGCCACACUGGAACUGAGACACGGUCCAGACUCCUACGGGAGGCAGCAGUGGGGAAUAUUGCACAAUGGGCGAAAGCCUGAUGCAGCCAUGCCGCGUGUAUGAAGAAGGCCUUCGGGUUGUAAAGUACUUUCAGCGGGGAGGAAGGGAAUAAAGUUAAUACCUUUGCUCAUUGACGUUACCCGCAGAAGAAGCACCGGCUAACUCCGUG